AUUGAACGCUGGCGGAAUGCUUUACACAUGCAAGUCGAACGGCAGCACGGACUUCGGUCUGGUGGCGAGUGGCGAACGGGUGAGUAAUGUAUCGGAACGUGCCCAGUCGUGGGGGAUAACGUAGUGAAAAUUACGCUAACACCGCAUACGAUCUAUGGAUGAAAGCGGGGGAUCGCAAGACCUCGCGCGAUUGGAGCGGCCGAUAUCAGAUUAGGUAGUUGGUGGGGUAAAGGCCCACCAAGCCAACGAUCUGUAGCUGGUCUGAGAGGACGACCAGCCACACUGGAACUGAGACACGGUCCAGACUCCUACGGGAGGCAGCAGUGGGGAAUUUUGGACAAUGGGCGAAAGCCUGAUCCGGCCAUUCCGCGUGCAGGAUGAAGGCCCUCGGGUUGUAAACUGCUUUUGUACAGAACGAAAAGGUUUCUACUAAUACUAGGAGCUCAUGACGGUACUGUAAGAAUAAGCACCGGCUAACUACGUGCCAGCCGCCGCAGUAA
This 500-nucleotide ribosomal RNA is filed under the name uncultured bacterium. RNAcentral's name for it is "partial 16S ribosomal RNA". It matches the Rfam family "Bacterial small subunit ribosomal RNA", at positions 30 to 523 of the family's 1533-position model. The record is from RNAcentral.